UCAGACGAUGCGUCAUGCAUAUCAAUAAGCGGAGGAAAAGAAACUAACAAGGAUUCCCUAGUAACGGCGAGUGAAGCGGGAAGAGCUCAAAUUUGAAAUCUUCAAGGUUUUACCUUGACGAAUUGUAGUUUAAAGAAGUGUUUUCUGUUGAAGUUUUGGUAAAAGUUCUUUGGAAUAGGACAUCAUAGAGGGUGAGAAUCCCGUAUUUGAUCCAUUAUUUCCAGCUUUGUGAUACACUUUCAAAGAGUCGGAUUGUUUGGGAAUGCAGUCCAAAAUGGGUGGUAAAUUUCAUCUAAAGCUAAAUAUUGGCGAGAGACCGAUAGCGAACAAGUACCGUGAGGGAAAGAUGAAAAGAACUUUGAAAAGAGAGUUAAACAGUACGUGAAAUUGUCAAAAGGGAAGCGUUUGACACCAGUGUUGUUUUCUCGAAAAUCAAUUAAAAAGAGUUGGAUUUUGUGUUGUAUUGACCUUAACAGCUUGCUUCACUCUUUUCCUGCUUUUUUUAAUGCACUUUUCGUUUAACAAGUCAACAUCAGUUUCUUUUGUUGUAAAAGGGUCAUUGGAAGGUGGCUUUCUCUUCGGAGAAAGUGUUUAUAGCCUUUGAUCUCUGCAAUCGGAGAGACUGAGGUCUGCAGCGUAGAUCCUUCGGGGUUAGAUACAUUUGUGCUAAGUUAUAGCCUUUCAUAGACAACUUGUUGACUAUGAUCAGUCAUGUAACUUACUCGCUUAUGCUACUUUACCUACGCUUAGGAUGUUGAUAUGCAUGACUGAUAU
This 774-nucleotide ribosomal RNA is filed under the name uncultured Neocallimastigales. RNAcentral describes it as "partial large subunit ribosomal RNA". It matches the Rfam family "Eukaryotic large subunit ribosomal RNA", at positions 18 to 634 of the family's 3401-position model. The record is from RNAcentral. Lineage: Eukaryota; Fungi; Neocallimastigomycota; Neocallimastigomycetes; Neocallimastigales.